GGAGGGAUGGCAGAGCGGUCAAUUGCAGCAGACUGUAAAUCUGCCGAGUUUACUCUACGUUGGUUCGAAUCCAGCUCCCUCCACCA
RNAcentral lists this transfer RNA (86 nucleotides) under Candidatus Marinamargulisbacteria bacterium. RNAcentral's name for it is "tRNA-Tyr". It matches the Rfam family "tRNA". From Rfam's summary of the family: Transfer RNA (tRNA) molecules are approximately 80 nucleotides in length. Their secondary structure includes four short double-helical elements and three loops (D, anti-codon, and T loops). The record is from RNAcentral. Lineage: Bacteria; Bacillati; Candidatus Margulisiibacteriota; Candidatus Marinamargulisbacteria.